Molecule: long non-coding RNA, 2274 nt
Organism: Oncorhynchus kisutch (coho salmon)
Lineage: Eukaryota; Metazoa; Chordata; Actinopteri; Salmoniformes; Salmonidae
Exons: 3
Source: RefSeq, a predicted model, not a curated record
AUGUAUGGUUGUGUUAGUAACAACCAGAGGAUUGCAGUGAAACCAACCAUGACUGGAUAAACGUUUGUUUAGUGUGUGUAAUUAUCACAAACGUUUCGUCCAAAGUUGAAUGAGACGGAAAUCACGACGCAACCGGUUUACAAAUGUUUCGUGUUAGGCGAUAAAAAUGUAUUUUAUCAAACAAAACGAAUAUUCACUGUGUAGUUAGGACACUUGGCAUUUCCACCAGAGGAAGAUCUUCAAUGGCAUUUCCCACCAGCAUCCUUCUGAAUGGAGGGGCUCCUAUGGCACCACCACACCACCCCGCCCACCAGAGAGUCGACUAGCCCCCGCAGAAUCACACUAAUCCUCCCGGCAGAGAGUCAACUGAAGCCCCAGUAGCAGUGCACCACUCCACCCGAGUCACCAACACCCAGCAGCUCAGCACCACUCUGGCUGUCUACCAGGGUAGCGGAGGAGGAACAGGCUAUGAGGCUCCGUGCGCUGUCCACACUCAAUUGGUGUUGAAAAAGUGCAUGCGCUCUCUCGAUGCGUGAAUGACCGGCGCCGCGCAGCUGGUCUCUCAACUCACCAUCAACGCAAUGAGCGAGCGCGAUCCCGACUCUCCACCGUUCAAAGCGCUCCGCUUAGUAACGGCGCCGUCAACACUAAACCCCCAAUGCUCUCUUUGCGCCGAGACCGCUGGGCUGGCAUCCAAAUGCACGUCAAGACUGACGCCCAACUGGCUUUCCAUAGAACUGGCCCUGAGAACGAACUAAUUAGGGGUGUUGACUGUGCAUGUUUUCUGCUACUGCAUUUUUAUUGUUUUUCUCAGUUAUAUUCUAUGCUGUUCUGUUUAUAACUUUGGACAUUUUAGAGAGAGUGCAACAUAAUAGUGGCCAGGUAGGACUGUUGUUCUACCUAUUUAUCUUGGGAUAUACAGUAUGUCUAUGCCAUUAAGGGCUGCAUGGUGAGGCUGGUUGAUAACUAAUUAUAUUGUAGAUUUGCACAAUUGAUCAGUAAGCACCUCUUUUAUUGUGCAGUCAAUGUAAUAAUUUCUCAGUCCAUUUCAGUGAUUGACAGUUACUGUAUUAACCAUGUGGAAGUGUGUGUGUGUGUGUGUGUGUGUGUGUGCGUGCGUGCAUGUACAGAAUAUGUAUUUGAUCUAUAGAUCUAAAGAUGGAACUAUAGGGGACUUGAGGUGUAUGUAAUACAUUCCUGUCCAGACAGUUUUGUAAAGAUGAAUGAAAACAGCCUGUGCAACAAAUAGUUAUUUAAGCAGCACAAUGGAGCUAAAGCUACCAGCCCCAUAGAGCCUUAUACAGGAGUCGAAUCAGACUCCAUAAUGAAUGAGAGCAAACCCUUUCCAUCCCGGAGGGCAUGGUUACCUCAUAAAGAGCAACACAUUAAAUAAAGCUUAGCACCAUUGAACACGUUAACAUUAUUUUGUCGCUUUGGUACUAUAUUCACUUAACAACCAUUGAUCCAAAAUAUAUGUUAAUGUGAAAUAUAAUGAGUACAUUGGUUUAAUCACCAAAACACAACAUAAUGAUAUAAUGUCAUUAUUUUAACAACCAGUUCAUCCAAAAGGAAAACUUUUAAGAUAAAUUGCCCUUUGGAUGUUAUAUGCUAUAUUACAGUGCAAAUUCUUCCACUCAUUCAAAUUGAGUAAACAUAAAAUGUACAUUUCUAUCCCAUGUGUGUCAAUGGUGUGACCAUUGAAGACCUAUUUACAAUGUAAUCAAAUGAAACAAAUGAAAGAAACCUAGUGUUUUAAGGCAUUAGUUUGUAUCAAGCCUGUAUUGAGCAUUUGGACAUAGGUUGUCAUUGAAAUCACAGUAAAUAUCCUCAUUGUUCAUGCACCUGGGGAAAAACCUUUUGGCAUGGUGAAUCCAAGCCUAAAUACUGUAGGUCUGGAUUUAAGUCAUUGCAUAUCUCAUCCAUGGCCUCAAUGAGGCUGUUACUCUCAUGGGGAUGGCAAUCAUACAUGUUCCAUUGUAAACAUGUAUUGUAGUGGUAUUGUGCGUGGCUCAGUUGACGAGAGCAUGGCAUUAGCACCAGCAGAGUUGUGGGUUAGAUUCCCACUGGGGACACAUACCAAAAGGUCUAAAAUGUCUGCUGCGUAAAUGGCAAUAGAUCGCUGUGAAAAGUAUUUUCCCCCAGUCUAGUUUUCUCUAUUUUUGCAUAUUUGUUUAUACUGAAUGUUAUCAGAGCUUCAACCAAAACCUAAUAUUAAAUAAAGGGAACCUGAGUUUACAAAUAACAACAGAAAAUGGAUACAUAUUUUACUUAUUU